Ensifer adhaerens OV14 is the source of this 124-nucleotide non-coding RNA. The record is from Rfam. Lineage: Bacteria; Pseudomonadati; Pseudomonadota; Alphaproteobacteria; Hyphomicrobiales; Rhizobiaceae.
GAGUGUGCAAGCGCUUUCUCCUCCUCCCAACGAGCGCUUGCCGGAAUGGCGACACUCCUCCUCCCGGUUGCCAUUCAAUCCCUUUAAAAGCCUGCCGCACCUCCUCCCGCGGCAGGCUUUUUCU